This 469-nucleotide ribosomal RNA is filed under the name uncultured Enterobacter sp. Its description in RNAcentral is "bacterial SSU rRNA". It matches the Rfam family "Bacterial small subunit ribosomal RNA", at positions 984 to 1452 of the family's 1533-position model. The record is from RNAcentral. Lineage: Bacteria; Pseudomonadati; Pseudomonadota; Gammaproteobacteria; Enterobacterales; Enterobacteriaceae.
ACAUCCAGAGAACUUUCCAGAGAUGGAUUGGUGCCUUGGGGGAACUCUGAGACAGGUGCUGCAUGGCUGUCGUCAGCUCGUGUUGUGAAAUGUUGGGUUAAGUCCCGCAACGAGCGCAACCCUUAUCCUUUGUUGCCAGCGGUUAGGCCGGGAACUCAAAGGAGACUGCCAGUGAUAAACUGGAGGAAGAUGGGGAUGACGUCAAGUCAUCAUGGCCCUUACGAGUAGGGCUACACACGUGCUACAAUGGCGCAUACAAAGAGAAGCGACCUCGCGAGAGCAAGCGGACCUCAUAAAGUGCGUCGUAGUCCGGAUUGGAGUCUGCAACUCGACUCCAUGAAGUCGGAAUCGCUAGUAAUCGUGGAUCAGAAUGCCACGGUGAAUACGUUCCCGGGCCUUGUACACACCGCCCGUCACACCAUGGGAGUGGGUUGCAAAAGAAGUAGGUAGCUUAACCUUCGGGAGGGCG